CCGAUAGUGAACCAGUACCGUGAGGGAAAGGCGAAAAGAACCCCGGCGAGGGGAGUGAAAAAGAACCUGAAACCGUGUACGUACAAGCAGUGGGAGCCCCACCACUAAGCCAGUGGUGAACUCCACAUACGCAUCCUUUGCUGAGGAUACGGUUAACGGAGCGAAAGCGACGUUCAACCGCAAAAGAAGCAGAGGGGGCUUAGUGGUGGGGUGACUGCGUACCUUUUGUAUAAUGGGUCAGCGACUUAUAUUCUGUAGCAAGGUUAACCGAAUAGGGGAGCCGGAGGGAAACCGAGUCUUAAUUGGG
This 307-nucleotide ribosomal RNA is filed under the name Salmonella enterica subsp. enterica serovar Anatum. RNAcentral's name for it is "partial 23S ribosomal RNA". It matches the Rfam family "Bacterial large subunit ribosomal RNA", at positions 484 to 692 of the family's 2925-position model. Lineage: Bacteria; Pseudomonadati; Pseudomonadota; Gammaproteobacteria; Enterobacterales; Enterobacteriaceae. The record is from RNAcentral.